ACUCAAAGGAAUUGACGGGGACCCGCACAAGCGGAGGAACAUGUGGUUUAAUUCGAAGCAACGCGAAGAACCUUACCAGGGCUUGAAAUCGAUGGAAUCUCUGUGAAAGCAGAGAGUGCCCCUCGGGGAACCAGAAGACAGGUGGUGCACGGUUGUCGUCAGCUCGUGUCGUGAGAUGUUGGGUUAAGUCCCGCAACGAGCGCAACCCUCGUUAUUAGUUGCAUGCGUCGGUAUACUGAUGCAGUGCUCUCUAGUAAGACUGCCGGUGAUAAACCGGAGGAAGGUGGGGACGACGUCAAAUCAUCAUGCCCCUUAUGCUCUGGGCUACACACGUGUUACAAUGGCCAGGACAACGAGUCGCCAACUCGCGAGAGUGAGCAAAUCUCUUAAACCUGGUCCCAGUUCGGAUUGUAGUCUGCAACUCGACUACAUGAAGUCGGAUUCGCUAGUAAACGCAGAUCAGCACGCUGCGUUGAAUACGUUCCCGGGUCUUGUACACACCGCCCGU
RNAcentral lists this ribosomal RNA (508 nucleotides) under uncultured bacterium. Its description in RNAcentral is "bacterial SSU rRNA". It matches the Rfam family "Bacterial small subunit ribosomal RNA", at positions 899 to 1397 of the family's 1533-position model. The record is from RNAcentral.